RNAcentral lists this unclassified non-coding RNA (231 nucleotides) under Hevea brasiliensis (rubber tree). Lineage: Eukaryota; Viridiplantae; Streptophyta; Magnoliopsida; Malpighiales; Euphorbiaceae. The record is from RNAcentral.
GCAUACUCUUUGAAUUCCAACAGAACCUGAUCUAUGUUACGAUCAGAAGCUAGCUUUAUCAUAAUCUCCAGUUUCUCCAUUUUAACAUAUAUCGGAUCAUUGUACUUGCAGAAAAAUACCUUGAUUUCAUGGGCAAGGAUUGUAGGACGUUUCUGCACAAUAAGAUUUAUGUUGCGCAAUGCUACAUACUGUAUUUCAGGCUCUGCAGAAAGAAGAGUCACAAGAGGAGGU